Molecule: long non-coding RNA, 419 nt
Filed under: Phoenix dactylifera (date palm)
Lineage: Eukaryota; Viridiplantae; Streptophyta; Magnoliopsida; Arecales; Arecaceae
Description: long non-coding RNA (PDAC_LNC022176)
Source: RNAcentral
GCUACGUAAGAGGCGACCCAGUCAGCAGCUCUGUUCGCCUCCCGAUCUUCAUGUUUAUGCGGUUCUUCUUCUUUCUUCGCGACUGGCUUUUGGGCCUCAUCACUUUUGGAGGCUUUACCUGUAGAAGCUUUUAUCUGAAAAAACCACGUAUUGUACCUUACUUUUUAUAUUACCUUCUAUUUUCUGUUUUUGUUGAUGAUUGUACCCGUUGUUGUACCCAAAAAAUCAUUAUUAGAUAAUAUUUUAAAAUUUUAGCAUCCACCGCAUAAAAUUUCUAGGGAGACCCGUUUGGAGCAUGAGAAUACUCGAAGAAUUGACCUAACACUGGAUUAUUUUCGUACUCCACUCAAAGCAGUGUAUUUAAAAAUCCAGUGUUGAUAGAUAUGCAGGGAGCAACAUCAGCUACCAUAUGUUGGUCC